Molecule: long non-coding RNA, 972 nt
Filed under: Salmo trutta (river trout)
Lineage: Eukaryota; Metazoa; Chordata; Actinopteri; Salmoniformes; Salmonidae
Description: lncRNA (ENSSTUG00000029835.1)
Source: RNAcentral
UUGUGAAGUGCAUUAGCAGAAAACUUUGUCUUUUAUGUAGAACAAAAUGCAAUUUACCACUUGGCUGUCUAUUAUAUCACCCUGUCACAGGCCUUCCCCGUCAACACCACCUCAUAAGAUUGCCUGCUGCAGUUGUUCGAGAGAUGUCCAGUUUGCAGCCGAACAUGCAGCAUAGAGAAGUCCAGAAAGGAGGCCUUCAUCAGCCACAUGUUGGCAAGUAUCUGGCCAGCAACCUUCACCUGUCAGCAGCAAAAGCUUUCACAGGCUCAUCAUUUGUACAAAUAUAGAAGGUGGAGUUCUUUGAGCCCUUCUGGGACAGUGGGGAGCCCUGUGUCGGGGAGAGGGGGGUCAAGGUGUGGAGAGCCUAGAUGAUGCAGCAGGAGAGAGGAGGCUGGCUCCAACCCAGUGAACAAGAACCUCUGUGUGACGGAUGAUGAAGAUGAUAAAGAUCAGGAGGAAUCAGAGGUGAAGGAUAAGACCUGGCUCAAGUGGAGGAUCUGGUUGGACGUGGAGACGUCACAUGAGGCUAUCUAUUGGCUGCCGUGGAGGGCAGACCAAUCGGUGGAGGACUGUGAGGACCCGGACUGACAGGUAUUGGCUGUAAUCACUGGUGAUAGUGGUGCCAAACCUGGGAUAUAUCUACCAUUAAAAAUGGGUCCUAGUGUUGCUAUUUACAGUGCAUUCGGAAAGUAUUCAGACCCCUUGACCCUUUUCACAUUUUGUUAUGUUACAUCCUUAUUCUAAAAUGUAUUAAAUAGUUUUUUCCCCUCAUCAAUCUACACACAAUACCCCAUAAUGACAAAGCAAAAAUAGGUUUUUAGAAAUGUUUACAAAUGUAUAAAAAUAAAUAAAACUGAAAUAUCAUAUUUACAUAAGUAUUCAGACCCUUUACUCACUAUUUUCUUGAAGCACCUUUGGCAGCGAUUACAGCCUCGAUUUGGGGAGUUCCUCCCAUUCUUUUCUGCAGAUCCU